This 485-nucleotide ribosomal RNA is filed under the name uncultured bacterium. RNAcentral describes it as "partial 16S ribosomal RNA". It matches the Rfam family "Bacterial small subunit ribosomal RNA", at positions 28 to 507 of the family's 1533-position model. The record is from RNAcentral.
GAUGAACGCUGGCGGCGUGCUUAACACAUGCAAGUCGAACGGGAUCCCAGGGGUGCUUGCACUUUUUGGUGAGAGUGGCGAACGGGUGAGUAACACGUGAGUAACCUGUCCUUUUCUUUGGGAUAAGCAUUCGAAAGGGUGUUUAAUACCUUAUGUUCUGUCUGCCUCGCAUGGGGUGGGUGGGAAAGGCUUUGGCCGGAUUUGGGUGGGCUCGCGGGCUAUCAGCUUGUUGGUGGGGUGAUGGCGUACCAAGGCUUUGACGGGUAGCCGGCCUGAGAGGGCGGUAGGUGACAGUGGGACUGAGAGGCGGCGCAGACUCCUGCGGAAGGCAGCGGUGGGGAAUAGUGCAGAAUGGGGGAAAGCCGGAGGCAGCGAGGCGGAGUGGGGGAGGAAGGCGUACGGGUUGUAAACGUCUGUUGCUCUGAACAAGGCAUGCCAGUGGGUGUGUGGAGUGAAGGGGUGGAUUAGCGCCGGCUAACUACGUG